UACGUAGGUGGCAAGCGUUGUCCGGAAUUAUUGGGCGUAAAGCGCGCGCAGGCGGUUCCUUAAGUCCGCUGUGAAAUCCCCGAGCUCAACUUGGGAAUUGCAGUGGAUACUGGCAAGCUGGAGUAUGGUAGAGGAAGGUGGAAUUCCCGGUGUAGCAGUGAAAUGCGUAGAGAUCGGGAGGAACACCAGUGGCGAAGGCGGCCUUCUGGACCAAUACUGACGCUCAUGCACGAAAGCGUGGGGAGCAAACAGG
RNAcentral lists this ribosomal RNA (253 nucleotides) under uncultured bacterium. Its description in RNAcentral is "partial 16S ribosomal RNA". It matches the Rfam family "Bacterial small subunit ribosomal RNA", at positions 524 to 776 of the family's 1533-position model. The record is from RNAcentral.